RNAcentral lists this long non-coding RNA (376 nucleotides) under Varanus komodoensis (Komodo dragon). Its description in RNAcentral is "lncRNA (ENSVKKG00000006865.1)". Lineage: Eukaryota; Metazoa; Chordata; Lepidosauria; Squamata; Varanidae. The record is from RNAcentral.
CUUGAGUCCUGACUCCAAGGGUUUUUCCUGCCGAUACCACCACCUAGUCUUUUCUUUUGGUUGAAGCUGCAUUGUGGGACUAAUUCCUUUCAUCCAUUCACUAGGGUAGGGAAAGAGCAGCUAUGUCUAGAUGCACCAACUCCUUCUUGUGGCAAAUUUCCAUGGGUGCUUGGGAUUCCCAUAGAACCUGAGGUUCCUGUAAAUACUGAAACGACUCCACUGCAUUGCAACAUGAUUAGACAUUUGCAUCCAGGGCAGCGGAAGGAUUGCAUGGGCCCAGUGCCAUCUUACUAACACCGAACAAGAAGGAAAAUAGAUUUGAAAGCCAGCAGUACAGCCGGCUGUUGUGGUCCCCACUAGGCAGCUGCAAGCUGCA